Vombatus ursinus (common wombat) is the source of this 191-nucleotide small nuclear RNA. Its record names the gene U4. It matches the Rfam family "U4 spliceosomal RNA". From Rfam's summary of the family: U4 small nuclear RNA (U4 snRNA) is a component of the major U2-dependent spliceosome. The structure of U4 snRNA from yeast and human has been reported. The record is from Ensembl. NCBI's taxonomy places the organism in Eukaryota, Metazoa, Chordata, Mammalia, Diprotodontia, Vombatidae.
AGCUUUGUGCAGUGGCAGUAUCAUAGCCAAUGAGGUUUAUCCGAGGCACAAUUAUUGUUAAUUGAAACAAAAUGGUUGUAUAAAUUCACAGUUCCACCAACAAUGCAUCAGUAUGCCUACCUUUUCACCAUCUCUUCAAUCAUCCAUUGAUUUUUUUGGUUGAGGAGAAUUUUAGAAAUAAAAGUUCCUUU